RNAcentral lists this long non-coding RNA (798 nucleotides) under Dasypus novemcinctus (nine-banded armadillo). RNAcentral describes it as "lncRNA (ENSDNOG00000050644.1)". Lineage: Eukaryota; Metazoa; Chordata; Mammalia; Cingulata; Dasypodidae. The record is from RNAcentral.
UGAGUUUGCUAUCUCCGAUUUGCUUUCACCUAAGAGUAUUCUUCCUGGAUUGUGCCUUCUGGAGCAGCGAGGGUCACAGAGGGGAAGUGCUGAAAUCAGAGAAUGAGAAGAGUCAAUGUAGGGGACUCAAGCUCUGUUUCCACAGCUGUACCCUCCUUCGGCCUCAACGAGGAACGAGCACUUUGGGAGUGAAUCGUGUUUAUCGCUGUUCUGUGAAACCUGACGUGACUGGCGGGGUUGUGAAAUCAUCCAGUUCCAAGCAGAACAGAAAAGCUGUCCAAGUUGUGCAAAUGUUAUUUAAAACACUAGCUGUCAUUUCUAAGGAAGUCCCUGCAGUCACAUCAAAGAAGCGGAAUAGUUUCAAAGAUGUUUUUUAUUACCAGUUACUACAAACAUGUGUUAUCCAAAUAGUGCAAAAAUAUGCAAUUUCCUGAAGAGGGGAGCUGUGAAAUCAUAUCCCCAGAAUAUUUAUACUUACUGUUGCUGAUGCAUUUAUUAGCAUUUCAAUAGCAUUUUUUGAAGGGAAGACUAGCCCACCAGGUUGUAUCAACAAUUAGUAGAUUCUUUUCCUGAGCUACUAACUUUUCUUAACCUGACUUAAUAAAGAAAAUUGCCUGAUGGCAUAUAUCUUUUUUCUCUUUUUAGGAUUGAAUAAAACUUAAAAUUUAUUAAUGCACUUAGAUAAUUUAUAAUCCUUUAAGCACAGAUCUGAGCUUAAAACUUUUCAUAUGUCAUAUACAAGGUCACUGUGUUUUCCCCACCAAAAUAUUUGGGUUAAAUAAAAAAAUUAGACAGCAC